CAGGGCGUCAGCAUGAAGGAGAAAGCCUUCUCUCGCAGCCGACUGACCUUCUCCAAGUCUGAUAAAGACCUGGUGAAUCAGGAGCGAUCACUGGCGAUCCAAAGAGAGGCAGAAUUCAGAUCGUUUAAACACAGAGAGUCGUCUCAGAAAGAGCAGAAGAGGAUCCAGAAGACCAUGUCGUCAGGGG
Molecule: long non-coding RNA, 187 nt
Organism: Carassius auratus (goldfish)
Lineage: Eukaryota; Metazoa; Chordata; Actinopteri; Cypriniformes; Cyprinidae
Exons: 3
Source: RefSeq, a predicted model, not a curated record